This 80-nucleotide transfer RNA is filed under the name Phaeoacremonium minimum UCRPA7. Its description in RNAcentral is "tRNA-Leu (AAG) (tRNA-Leu-AAG-2-1)". It matches the Rfam family "tRNA". From Rfam's summary of the family: Transfer RNA (tRNA) molecules are approximately 80 nucleotides in length. Their secondary structure includes four short double-helical elements and three loops (D, anti-codon, and T loops). The record is from Rfam by way of RNAcentral. Lineage: Eukaryota; Fungi; Ascomycota; Sordariomycetes; Togniniales; Togniniaceae.
GGCAACUUGGCCGAGUGGUUAAGGCGCUGUGUUAAGGUCGCAGUGGAUAUUCCUCGCAGGUUCGAGUCCUGCAGUUGUCA